CCUUGACGCUGCGGCCCGACAGCCUUGGGAGCAAACGCGGAUUAGAUACCCGGGUAGGCCACGCCGUAAACGAUGCCAGCUCGGCGUGUGGCGCACGGUCGUGUGCUGCGUACCUUAGCUCACGCGAUAAGCUGGCCGCCUGGGGACUACGAGCGCAAGCUUAAAACUCAAAGUAAUUGACGGGGGCCCGCACAAGCAGCGGAGCGUGUGGUUUAAUUCGACGCAACACGAAGAACCUUACCUGGACUUGACAUGACGCUGCCAUCCCGCCGAAAGACGGCCGCCUACGAGGGUGCGUCACAGGUGCUGCAUGGCUGUCGUCACGCUCGUGUCGUGAGAUGUUGGGUUCAGUCCCGCAACGAGCGCAACCCGCGUCGGUAGUUAUAGGUGUCUACCGAGACUUGCCCGUGACCGGCGGAGGAAGGCGCGGAUGACGUCAAGUCAGCAUGGCCCUUACGUCCAGGGCGACACACACGCUACAAUGGCCACGACAAUGCGUUGCCAAGCCGCAAGGCGGAGCUAAUCGCCUAAACGUGGUCUCAGUGCAGAUCGGGGGCUGCAACUCGCCCCCGUGAAGGCGGAGUUGCUAGUAACCGCGUAAGGGCG
RNAcentral lists this ribosomal RNA (606 nucleotides) under uncultured bacterium. Its description in RNAcentral is "bacterial SSU rRNA". It matches the Rfam family "Bacterial small subunit ribosomal RNA", at positions 738 to 1354 of the family's 1533-position model. The record is from RNAcentral.